UACGUAGGGUGCGAGCGUUGUCCGGAAUUAUUGGGCGUAAAGGGCUCGUAGGCGGUCUGUCGCGUCGGGAGUGAAAACUCAGGGCUUAACCCUGAGCCUGCUUCCGAUACGGGCAGACUAGAGGUAUGCAGGGGAGAACGGAAUUCCUGGUGUAGCGGUGGAAUGCGCAGAUAUCUGGAGGAACACCGGUGGCGAAGGCGGCAUCCUGGACCAAUUCUGACGCUGAGGAGCGAAAGCCAGGGGAGCGAACGGG
This 253-nucleotide ribosomal RNA is filed under the name uncultured bacterium. Its description in RNAcentral is "partial 16S ribosomal RNA". It matches the Rfam family "Bacterial small subunit ribosomal RNA", at positions 524 to 776 of the family's 1533-position model. The record is from RNAcentral.